RNAcentral lists this ribosomal RNA (640 nucleotides) under Fusarium oxysporum. Its description in RNAcentral is "SSU rRNA". It matches the Rfam family "Bacterial small subunit ribosomal RNA", at positions 345 to 918 of the family's 1533-position model. The record is from RNAcentral. Lineage: Eukaryota; Fungi; Ascomycota; Sordariomycetes; Hypocreales; Nectriaceae.
CUUGGAGAAGUGGCAAGUCUUCCAGUAUGGGGAGCAAAACAGCUAUGGGUCAAGUCCGAUAUCUUUAGGAGAAGUCUUAUUGUGAGGGCGAGUUAUAUAACACCAUAGGACUGGCCGUCCCAUAUGAAAAGAUUAUAUUAGAAUUGAAUGAAGCUUUGUUUAUAUAUUGAUAAUGACAGUAUAUAUAUCGUGUCUUGACUAAUUGCGUGCCAGCAGUCGCGGUAAUACGUAAGAGACUAGUGUUAUUCAUCUUAAUUAGGUUUAAAGGGUACCCAGACGGUCAAUAUAGCUUAUAAAAUGUUAGUACUUGACUAGAGUUUUAUGUAAGAGGGCAGUACUUGAGGAGGAGAGAUGAAAUUUCGUGAUACCAAAGGGACUCUGUAAAGGCGAAGGCAGCCCUCUAUGUAAAAACUGACGUUGAAGGACGAAGGCACAGAGAACAAACAGGAUUAGAUACCCAAGUAGUCUUUGCAGUAAAUGAUGAAUGCCAUAGGUUAGAUUGAUCAAUUAUAGUCUAGGGUUAGUCUAGCAAACUAAUGCCCUAUGAUAUAAUUCAAAAUAUCUGGUCUAUAAAUGAAAGUGUAAGCAUUUCACCUCAAGAGUAAUGUGGCAACGCAGGAACUGAAAUCACUAGACCGUU